This 614-nucleotide ribosomal RNA is filed under the name uncultured bacterium. RNAcentral describes it as "bacterial SSU rRNA". The stretch from base 1 to 540 matches the Rfam family "Bacterial small subunit ribosomal RNA", at positions 338 to 873 of the family's 1533-position model. The record is from RNAcentral.
CCUACGGGAGGCAGCAGUGGGGAAUUUUGGACAAUGGGCGCAAGCCUGAUCCAGCAAUGCCGCGUGCAGGAUGAAGGCCUUCGGGUUGUAAACUGCUUUUGUACGGAACGAAAAAGUCUGCCCUAAUACGGUGGGCCCAUGACGGUACCGUAAGAAUAAGCACCGGCUAACUACGUGCCAGCAGCCGCGGUAAUACGUAGGGUGCGAGCGUUAAUCGGAAUUACUGGGCGUAAAGCGUGCGCAGGCGGUUAUAUAAGACAGAUGUGAAAUCCCCGGGCUCAACCUGGGACCUGCAUUUGUGACUGUAUAGCUAGAGUACGGUAGAGGGGGAUGGAAUUCCGCGUGUAGCAGUGAAAUGCGUAGAUAUGCGGAGGAACACCGAUGGCGAAGGCAAUCCCCUGGACCUGUACUGACGCUCAUGCACGAAAGCGUGGGGAGCAAACAGGAUUAGAUACCCUGGUAGUCCACGCCCUAAACGAUGUCAACUGGUUGUUGGGUCUUCACUGACUCAGUAACGAAGCUAACGCGNGAGUAGACGCGNGGNGGUAACGGCGCGAGUUAGUAAGUUAAGUUAGAGUUGNGNGNGAGAGNGCGAGACGACGACGAGGAGGAGG